Long non-coding RNA from Triticum aestivum (bread wheat), 577 nucleotides. RefSeq lists it as uncharacterized. NCBI's taxonomy places the organism in Eukaryota, Viridiplantae, Streptophyta, Magnoliopsida, Poales, Poaceae. The record is from RefSeq and is a predicted model, not a curated record. The transcript is spliced from 2 exons.
AAACAAUGGCAUCCAAAGCAUUGGCAGCUCUGGUGGUCCUUGUACUCCUCGCCGGCGGCAAGCUUGGCCACGCCGUGCUGGUCAGCGGCCGUCCCCCGGUUUCCACUCUGCCGCACCCAUCGUCAUCCACUACUGCUGGUCAGGCUACCAACAUGAACGCCAUGGAUGGAGCAUCAGCAGCCACUACUCAUCGCCAACUCAGGAUCGGAGAAGGUGAGGAAAAAUCCAUUUCUGUGAACAGCCUGCCGACGGUGCACAUGAGGGUGCCGGUUAUUAUCCCCAAAUCCACCUAAUCCCAUGCAGUACGUACGUGCAGCCAAGCUGACGAUCGAUCGACCUCAACAACAAACAUGUAUCAUGAUUUUCAGAAGAAUAAAAUAGUCGCGAAAAAAUGAGAAGAAUAAGUCGUGGAGUAAGUUAGUUGGCUGCUGUGCUGUGUUACCAUGGAGAGGCUGGAAGUUGUAAGUUCUAAGUGAUGGCUCCAUAAUUACGAAUGUACUCUCCCUUUUUCUGAAAAACAGAAGGUACUGUGCUGGCGCACAUGGGACGGGUCUCCAGGAUUGACCUUCUUUCUUUA